AUUGACACAUCGGUUUCCGUACGAUCACCGAAGUUAAGCAACGUCGAGCCUGGUCAUUACUUAGAUGGCCGACUGCUUGAGAAUACCAGGUGCUGUAAG
Acanthosepion pharaonis is the source of this 99-nucleotide non-coding RNA. The record is from the annotation of a GenBank genome assembly. NCBI's taxonomy places the organism in Eukaryota, Metazoa, Mollusca, Cephalopoda, Sepiida, Sepiidae.